Molecule: long non-coding RNA, 629 nt
Filed under: Olea europaea subsp. europaea
Lineage: Eukaryota; Viridiplantae; Streptophyta; Magnoliopsida; Lamiales; Oleaceae
Source: RNAcentral
CAAAUAUCUUCUUAAAUUCAGGACCUUUUGUGAAGUUUUGAAAGUUUUUGCUCAGUUCGUUACGCUCAAUACGUAACGAACAUUAGCUGGAUCACAAGUCACCAACAUGUCCAUGUUGCCAAACCGUGGGCCUUUAAACCAAACAGUGGUGGAGCUCUCAAGAAGCUCGAUGAUAUAGUCGUGAAUUCUGUGAAUAUUGAAAAUUAGCAAUGGCAUCAUACCAAAAAGUGGCAAGUUUGUAUGCAGUAAUCUUUCCUUUCUUUUUCCAUCGAAGUUUCUGCAGGAAAGAAAAGUAGCAGACAAAAUUACAAGCAACAGUAAGACGAAGUUUAUGAUGGCCAAUAUAUCUAGUGCAUGUAUUCUGAAAAUCAAAGGUUAAAUGGUGAGGUUUCAUAAAUUUUGGCUGAUAAUGAUAUGCUGCGUGUCUUGUGGGUCUUUUAUAACGGGCAUUUCUUCAAAUGAGCAAGUCAUUUUCGAGGACAUCAUAGUUAUUUCUGCCAUUUGGCUGGAUGUAAUUGUAAUGGACAAGCGUCCUGCUUCAUUGGUUGCAAAUGUCAUGUUUUCUGGCAAGAAUUAAAUGAGUAACUAUGAGAACUUUGGUAAUCUCAAACCAUAGACAUACAUCUUGC